This 292-nucleotide ribosomal RNA is filed under the name uncultured bacterium. RNAcentral describes it as "partial 16S ribosomal RNA". It matches the Rfam family "Bacterial small subunit ribosomal RNA", at positions 505 to 796 of the family's 1533-position model. The record is from RNAcentral.
UUGUCAGCAGCCGCGGUAAUACGAAGGGGGCUAGCGUUGUUCGGAAUUACUGGGCGUAAAGCGCACGCAGGCGGUUCGAUUAGUCAGAAGUGAAAGCCCCGGGCUCAACCUGGGAACUGCUUUUGAUACUGUCGAGCUUGAAUCACGGAGAGGGUAGUGGAAUUCCGAGUGUAGAGGUGAAAUUCGUAGAUAUUCGGAAGAACACCAGUGGCGAAGGCGACUACCUGGCCGUCGAUUGACGCUCAUGUGCGAAAGCGUGGGGAGCAAACAGGAUUAGAUACCCCAGUAGUCC